This 450-nucleotide ribosomal RNA is filed under the name uncultured bacterium. RNAcentral describes it as "partial 16S ribosomal RNA". It matches the Rfam family "Bacterial small subunit ribosomal RNA", at positions 354 to 796 of the family's 1533-position model. The record is from RNAcentral.
GUGGGGAAUAUUGGACAAUGGGCGAAAGCCUGAUCCAGCCAUGUCGCGUGUGUGAAGAAGGUCUUCGGAUUGUAAAGCACUUUAAGUUGGGAGGAAGGGCAGUAAGUUAAUACCUUGCUGUUUUGACGUUACCGACAGAAUAAGCACCGGCUAACUUCGUGCCAGCAGCCGCGGUAAUACGAAGGGUGCAAGCGUUAAUCGGAAUUACUGGGCGUAAAGCGCGCGUAGGUGGUUUUGUAAGUUGGAGGUGAAAUCCCCGGGCUCAACCUGGGAACUGCCUCCAAAACUGCAUGACUAGAGUACGGUAGAGGGUAGUGGAAUUUCCUGUGUAGCGGUGAAAUGCGUAGAUAUAGGAAGGAACACCAGUGGCGAAGGCGACUACCUGGACUGAUACUGACACUGAGGUGCGAAAGCGUGGGGAGCAAACAGGAUUAGAAACCCCAGUAGUCC